AACGAACGCUGGCGGCAUGCCUAACACAUGCAAGUCGAACGAAGCCUUCGGGCUUAGUGGCGCACGGGUGCGUAACGCGUGGGAAUCUGCCCUUGGGUUCGGAAUAACAGUUAGAAAUGACUGCUAAUACCGAAUGAUGUCUUCGGACCAAAGAUUUAUCGCCCAAGGAUGAGCCCGCGUCGGAUUAGCUAGUUGGUGAGGUAAAGGCUCACCAAGGCGACGAUCCGUAGCUGGUCUGAGAGGAUGAUCAGCCACACUGGGACUGAGACACGGCCCAGACUCCUACGGGAGGUAGCAGUGGGGAAUAUUGGACAAUGGGCGAAAGCCUGAUCCAGCAAUGCCGCGUGAGUGAUGAAGGCCUUAGGGUUGUAAAGCUCUUUUACCCGGGAUGAUAAUGACAGUACCGGGAGAAUAAGCCCCGGCUAACUCCGUGCCAGCAGCCGCGGUAAU
RNAcentral lists this ribosomal RNA (450 nucleotides) under uncultured bacterium. RNAcentral's name for it is "bacterial SSU rRNA". It matches the Rfam family "Bacterial small subunit ribosomal RNA", at positions 29 to 524 of the family's 1533-position model. The record is from RNAcentral.